AAUCCAUAGGUUAAUGAGGCGAACCGGGGGAACUGAAACAUCUAAGUACCCCGAGGAAAAGAAAUCAACCGAGAUUCCCCCAGUAGCGGCGAGCGAACGGGGAGGAGCCCAGAGCCUGAAUCAGCAUGUGUGUUAGUGGAAGCGUCUGGAAAGGCGCGCGAUACAGGGUGACAGCCCCGUACACAAAAGCGCAUGUGCUGUGAGCUCGAUGAGUAGGGCGGGACACGUGGUAUCCUGUCUGAAUAUGGGGGGACCAUCCUCCAAGGCUAAAUACUCCUGACUGACCGAUAGUGAACCAGUACCGUGAGGGAAAGGCGAAAAGAACCCCGGCGAGGGGAGUGAAAAAGAACCUGAAACCGUGUACGUACAAGCAGUGGGAGCACAGGUUUACCUGUGUGACUGCGUACCUUUUGUAUAAUGGGUCAGCGACUUAUAUUCUGUAGCAAGGUUAACCGAAUAGGGGAGCCGGAGGGAAACCGAGUCUUAAUUGGGCGUUAAGUUGCAGGGUAUAGACCCGAAACCCGGUGAUCUAGCCAUGGGCAGGUUGAAGGUUGGGUAACACUAACUGGAGGACCGAACCGACUAAUGUUGAAAAAUUAGCGGAUGACCUGUGGCUGGGGGUGAAAGGCCAAUCAAACCGGGAGAUAGCUGGUUCUCCCCGAAAGCUAUUUAGGUAGCGCCUCGUGAAUUCAUCUCCGGGGGUAGAGCACUGUUUCGGCUAGGGGGCCAUCCCGGCUUACCAACCCGAUGCAAACUGCGAAUACCGGAGAAUGUUAUCACGGGAGACACACGGCGGGUGCUAACGUCCGUCGUGAAGAGGGAAACAACCCAGACCGCCAGCUAAGGUCCCAAAGUCAUGGUUAAGUGGGAAACGAUGUGGGAAGGCCCAGACAGCCAGGAUGUUGGCUUAGAAGCAGCCAUCAUUUAAAGAAAGCGUAAUAGCUCACUGGUCGAGUCGGCCUGCGCGGAAGAUGUAACGGGGCUAAACCAUGCACCGAAGCUGCGGCAGCGACACUGUGUGUUGUUGGGUAGGGGAGCGUUCUGUAAGCCUGUGAAGGUGGCCUGUGAGGGUUGCUGGAGGUAUCAGAAGUGCGAAUGCUGACAUAAGUAACGAUAAAGCGGGUGAAAAGCCCGCUCGCCGGAAGACCAAGGGUUCCUGUCCAACGUUAAUCGGGGCAGGGUGAGUCGACCCCUAAGGCGAGGCCGAAAGGCGUAGUCGAUGGGAAACAGGUUAAUAUUCCUGUACUUGGUGUUACUGCGAAGGGGGGACGGAGAAGGCUAUGUUGGCCGGGCGACGGUUGUCCCGGUUUAAGCGUGUAGGCUGGUUUUCCAGGCAAAUCCGGAAAAUCAAGGCUGAGGCGUGACGACGAGGCACUACGGUGCUGAAGCAACAAAUGCCCUGCUUCCAGGAAAAGCCUCUAAGCAUCAGGUAACAUCAAAUCGUACCCCAAACCGACACAGGUGGUCAGGUAGAGAAUACCAAGGCGCUUGAGAGAACUCGGGUGAAGGAACUAGGCAAAAUGGUGCCGUAACUUCGGGAGAAGGCACGCUGACACGUAGGUGAAGUGAUUUACUCAUGGAGCUGAAGUCAGUCGAAGAUACCAGCUGGCUGCAACUGUUUAUUAAAAACACAGCACUGUGCAAACACGAAAGUGGACGUAUACGGUGUGACGCCUGCCCGGUGCCGGAAGGUUAAUUGAUGGGGUCAGCGCAAGCGAAGCUCCUGAUCGAAGCCCCGGUAAACGGCGGCCGUAACUAUAACGGUCCUAAGGUAGCGAAAUUCCUUGUCGGGUAAGUUCCGACCUGCACGAAUGGCGUAAUGAUGGCCAGGCUGUCUCCACCCGAGACUCAGUGAAAUUGAACUCGCUGUGAAGAUGCAGUGUACCCGCGGCAAGACGGAAAGACCCCGUGAACCUUUACUAUAGCUUGACACUGAACAUUGAGCCUUGAUGUGUAG
RNAcentral lists this ribosomal RNA (1957 nucleotides) under Salmonella enterica. Its description in RNAcentral is "partial 23S ribosomal RNA". It matches the Rfam family "Bacterial large subunit ribosomal RNA", at positions 161 to 2141 of the family's 2925-position model. Lineage: Bacteria; Pseudomonadati; Pseudomonadota; Gammaproteobacteria; Enterobacterales; Enterobacteriaceae. The record is from RNAcentral. RNAcentral also lists the same sequence under 1 other name.